GCUGCCGGACCCUCGAAGGAUUGUGCCUGACUUCGGGCAGCCUCCUUUGGGAGGCCGUUUCCAUUCUUUUUCACCUCGGUCCCCAUCCCGGGACUCUGGGCCUCAGUUUUCUUAUCUGGAAAGAAGGGCGUGGAGUCGUCUCCCCGCCCACACGCCGCGGUGUUAGGGCAAACCGAGGGCGAGCUGCCCAGCAAAGGUGAGAGAGGAUGGAGACCUUCGGCUUGAGAGUGGAAAGGGCGCAUUCUGAACUUUAUCCCUUUGUUUUUGCCUCUGUCUUGUCAUAGAGGAGCGCUUUGUUUUUGGUCAUUUUCCUUGGGCCAUCAAGGCCUUCUCAUCCCGGAUUCUGGCCUCCUUCACGCCACCACCCGUACCGCAGCGUCUCCCACAGCGUAGCCAGAGGGCGCUUCUGCUUAAAACCCUUCACCAGUCUUCCCAUUGCCUCCGGAAUUAAACCCACAUUCCUCAGUGUCAAUCUAAAGGCCCUUCAGGAUCUGGACUCCACCUUCUUGCAACACUCUGAACUUCUUUGGAAGCUGGGAAGCCUUAAGCACUCGUUCUCUCCCAUGGGUCCCUCCACCCUGCACUCAGCUAAUGCCUCACACUCUUCAAGCCCCAGCCUAGACGCUGCCUCCUCAGUGAAGCCUUCCCAGAUGCCCAGCUCCAUAUGAGGUGUUGACCUGGCAUGCAGUCCCUGUGGCUCCUGUGUGGCCCCAUUUCUGCCCUCUGAAGCAGCAGUGUCCACGCACCAGAUGUUACAGAACCUCCCUACCUUGGCUGCCCAUCUCUGCAAAUAUGUGACCAGACUAGAGUGGUCAACCCCAGAUUUUGGAUGAUGAACAGAUGGGAGCAGUUAAUCUGAAAUUCCUCGGGGCAAGAUUUACUAAGUGUAUCUGUGUGGCCUGCAGGAGCUAAGAAAACUUUCUGAAGUGCCAUACCCAUGGAGUGCCAUGUCCUGGGGAGAAUCUAGCUUGGGCUGCAAGGUGAGCAAGCUAGUACUUUCUUCAGAGCACCAAGCAAAAUACUGCAGGGCGGAGCUGUCUUGGUCGCUGUGGUUCUUCCUCCUCUGGCCUGUCCCAUCUAUCUGGCAUGCUUUGCCCAGCAGUGUCUCCGAGAUGCUGUGGGACAAGAACACAGUGAGCCCAGCUGAGAAAGAUGCCCAGUUUGAUAGUUGUCCCCGGCCACUUGCUGAGUCCCCUCAGUCUCUCAGAUUGCUGGCCUCAACCCAGCUGUACAGCUCUCAGCCCCUCAGCUCAGCUCCUUGGAGGCUUCCAACCUCAGUCAUGACAGCCCCCUCAACCCUGUCUCUUGAAUCUUGAACUGAACCUGCCUCCAACUCAUGCCUGUCCCCAUCCAGCUCCUGAGAAGCCCCUGAUUUCUUACCCCAAGUCCCUGCACUUUGCCAAACCUCCGUGUUCCCUCCGGACCAUCCUCCAUCAAGUGGGGUCAGGGAAAGCCCUGCUACAACCCGUCAACUUGAUACUUUGGCAG
This is a long non-coding RNA of Physeter macrocephalus (sperm whale), 1488 nucleotides long. RefSeq lists it as uncharacterized. NCBI's taxonomy places the organism in Eukaryota, Metazoa, Chordata, Mammalia, Artiodactyla, Physeteridae. The record is from RefSeq and is a predicted model, not a curated record. The transcript has 3 exons.